GACGAACGCUGGCGGCGUGCUUAACACAUGCCAGUCGAACGGAAAGGCCCUGCUUUUGUGGGGUGCUCGAGUGGCGAACGGGUGAGUAACACGUGAGUAACCUGCCCUUGACUUUGGGAUAACUUCAGGAAACUGGGGCUAAUACCGGAUAGGAGCUCCUGCUGCAUGGUGGGGGUUGGUAAGUUUAGGCGGUUGGGGGUGGACUCGCGGCUUAUCAGCUUGUUGGUGGGGUAGUGGCUUACCAAGGCUUGGCGAGGUGGCCGGGCUGAGAGGGUGACAGGCCACACUGGGAUUGAGAUACGGCCCAGCCCACUAUGGGACGCAGGGGUGGAGAAGGGUGCACAAUGGGAUGAAGGCUGAUGUAGCAACGCCGUGUGGGGGGUGACGUGCAGCGGGUAGUAUAGUGCUUCCGUCUGUGACGAAGCGAGAGUGACGGUAAUGGGUAAAGAAGCGCCGGCUAACUACGUG
This 468-nucleotide ribosomal RNA is filed under the name uncultured bacterium. RNAcentral's name for it is "partial 16S ribosomal RNA". It matches the Rfam family "Bacterial small subunit ribosomal RNA", at positions 28 to 507 of the family's 1533-position model. The record is from RNAcentral.